RNAcentral lists this ribosomal RNA (249 nucleotides) under uncultured bacterium. RNAcentral's name for it is "partial 16S ribosomal RNA". It matches the Rfam family "Bacterial small subunit ribosomal RNA", at positions 524 to 769 of the family's 1533-position model. The record is from RNAcentral.
UACGUAGGGUGCAAGCGUUGUCCGGAAUUAUUGGGUCGUAAAGAGCUCGUAGGUGGCCUGUCGCGUCGGUCUGUGAAAACUCGGGGCUCAACUCCGAGCUUGCAGUCGAUACGGGCAGGCUAGAGUUCGGCAGGGGAGACUGGAAUUCCUGGUGUAGCGGUGAAAUGCGCAGAUAUCAGGAGGAACACCGGUGGCGAAGGCGGGUCUCUGGGCCGAAUACUGACACUGAGGAGCGAAAGCGUGGGGAGC